RNAcentral lists this transfer RNA (98 nucleotides) under Herbiconiux flava. RNAcentral's name for it is "tRNA-Arg". The record is from RNAcentral. Lineage: Bacteria; Bacillati; Actinomycetota; Actinomycetes; Micrococcales; Microbacteriaceae.
AGCACGCUCAGCGAGGUGGCGAUCGCGGAGGCGGCUGCGGGUCGCUGACGGAUGUUUCACGUGAAACGCUCGUCGCCUUCGGGCGGCGGGCGUUCUUC